UGGCGGACGGGUGGGUAAUGUCUGGGAAACUGCCUGAUGGAGGGGGAUAACUACUGGAAACGGUAGCUAAUACCGCAUAACGUCGCAAGACCAAAGAGGGGGACCUUCGGGCCUCUUGCCAUCGGAUGUGCCCAGAUGGGAUUAGCUAGUAGGUGGGGUAAAGGCUCACCUAGGCGACGAUCCCUAGCUGGUCUGAGAGGAUGACCAGCCACACUGGAACUGAGACACGGUCCAG
Molecule: ribosomal RNA, 235 nt
Filed under: uncultured bacterium
Lineage: Bacteria
Description: partial 16S ribosomal RNA
Rfam family: Bacterial small subunit ribosomal RNA
Source: RNAcentral